Molecule: long non-coding RNA, 457 nt
Organism: Mus musculus (house mouse)
Lineage: Eukaryota; Metazoa; Chordata; Mammalia; Rodentia; Muridae
Product: predicted gene, 39868
Exons: 3
Source: RefSeq, a predicted model, not a curated record
UCUUCAUUCUUCUUUGCUUUCCUGCCCCACAGGUGGAUAGUCAGUCCUCUUCAUCCACACACUCCCACUAUGACAUACUGUGUGUCCAAACCAACUCCUUCAAGUUCUUCAGUUACCUAGGAGACAAACUUCUGGUCAUGCCUGGGAAGAUUAUCCUGAUUGCCACCUUUCCCUGGAUUGUGUUUGAAAGAAGCUAGCUGCACACAAAGGUUCAUCUCUCUGCUUCCUAAGGAUACAAUGUAACCACCUGCACUGAGUCCCUUCACCAGGACUUCCCUACCAUGAUAGACAGUACCUUUGACCUGUGAACUCAAAUAAGCUGUCUCCUUGAGUCAGGUAUUAUGUCACAGCAACAGGAAAAGCAACUAACAGUGAAAACGAAGACCCCAGAAUGCUUCUCGGACCCCACUGCACCAUCACUCCUUGAAGAGUGAUAACAUUGUGGCUUCUUCAUAAA